Molecule: ribosomal RNA, 482 nt
Filed under: uncultured bacterium
Lineage: Bacteria
Description: partial 16S ribosomal RNA
Rfam family: Bacterial small subunit ribosomal RNA
Source: RNAcentral
AUUGAACGCUGGCGGCAUGCCUUACACAUGCAAGUCGAACGGUAACGGGCCUUCGGGUGCCGACGAGUGGCGAACGGGUGAGUAAUACAUCGGAACGUGCCCGAUCGUGGGGGAUAACGCGGCGAAAGCUUUGCUAAUACCGCAUACGAUCUACGGGUGAAAGCAGGGGACCGCAAGGCCUUGCGCGGACGGAGCGGCCGAUGGCAGAUUAGGUAGUUGGUGGGAUAAAAGCUUACCAAGCCGACGAUCUGUAGCUGGUCUGAGAGGAUGAUCAGCCACACUGGGACUGAGACACGGCCCAGACUCCUACGGGAGGCAGCAGUGGGGAAUUUUGGACAAUGGGCGCAAGCCUGAUCCAGCCAUGCCGCGUGCAGGAUGAAGGCCUUCGGGUUGUAAACUGCUUUUGUACGGAACGAAAAGCAUUCUUUUAAUACAGGAGGGUCAUGACGGUACCGUAAGAAUAAGCACCGGCUAACUACGUG